GGAGAGAUGGCAGAGUGGUCGAUUGCGGCGGUCUUGAAAACCGUUGAACUGAAAGGUUCCGGGGGUUCGAAUCCCUCUCUCUCCGC
This 86-nucleotide transfer RNA is filed under the name Bacteroidetes bacterium ADurb.BinA395. RNAcentral describes it as "tRNA-Ser". It matches the Rfam family "tRNA". Rfam says of the family: Transfer RNA (tRNA) molecules are approximately 80 nucleotides in length. Their secondary structure includes four short double-helical elements and three loops (D, anti-codon, and T loops). Lineage: Bacteria; Pseudomonadati; Bacteroidota. The record is from RNAcentral.